ACGGGUGAGUAAUGCCUAGGAAUCUGCCUGGUAGUGGGGGACAACGUUUCGAAAGGAACGCUAAUACCGCAUACGUCCUACGGGAGAAAGCAGGGGACCUUCGGGCCUUGCGCUAUUGAUGAGCCUAGGUCGGAUUAGCUAGUUGGUGAGGUAAUGGCUCACCAAGGCUACGAUCCGUAACUGGUCUGAGAGGAUGAUCAGUCACACUGGAACUGAGACACGGUCCAGACUCCUACGGGAGGCAGCAGUGGGGAAUAUUGGACAAUGGGCGAAAGCCUGAUCCAGCCAUGCCGCGUGUGUGAAGAAGGUCUUCGGAUUGUAAAGCACUUUAAGUUGGGAGGAAGGGUUGUAGAUUAAUACUCUGCAAUUUUGACGUUACCGACAUAAUAAGCACCGGCUAACUCUGUGCCAGCAGCCGCGGUAAUACAGAGGGUGCAAGCGUUAAUCGGAAUUACUGGGCGUAAAGCGCGCGUAGGUGGUUCGUUAAGUUGGAUGUGAAAUCCCCGGGCUCAACCUGGGAACUGCAUCCAAAACUGGCGAGCUAGAGUAUGGUAGAGGGUGGUGGAAUUUCCUGUGUAGCGGUGAAAUGCGUA
RNAcentral lists this ribosomal RNA (593 nucleotides) under Pseudomonas sp. HRRK011. Its description in RNAcentral is "bacterial SSU rRNA". It matches the Rfam family "Bacterial small subunit ribosomal RNA", at positions 102 to 692 of the family's 1533-position model. Lineage: Bacteria; Pseudomonadati; Pseudomonadota; Gammaproteobacteria; Pseudomonadales; Pseudomonadaceae. The record is from RNAcentral.